RNAcentral lists this ribosomal RNA (445 nucleotides) under uncultured bacterium. RNAcentral's name for it is "partial 16S ribosomal RNA". It matches the Rfam family "Bacterial small subunit ribosomal RNA", at positions 354 to 796 of the family's 1533-position model. The record is from RNAcentral.
GUAGGGAAUAUUGGGCAAUGGAUGCAAGUCUGACCCAGCCAUCCCGCGUGCCGGAAGAAGGCCCUCAGGGUUGUAAACGGCUUUUGACGGUGAAGAAUCGACAGGAUGCGUCCUGUUUUGACGGUAGCCGUUGAAUAAGCACCGGCUAACUCCGUGCCAGCAGCCGCGGUAAUACGGAGGGUGCGAGCGUUGUCCGGAUUUAUUGGGUUUAAAGGGUGCGUAGGCUGGAGGGUCAGUCAGCGGUGAAAAGCUGUCGCUUAACGAUAGUCUUGCCGCAGAUACUUCCUUUCUUGGAUGAGGAGGAGGCCACGGGAACGGAUGGUGUAGCGGUGAAAUGCAUAGAUAUCAUCCAGAACACCGAUUGCGAAGGCAGGUGGCUGUACCUUAAUCGACGCUGAUGCACGAAAGCAUGGGGAGCAAACAGGAUUAGAAACCCGUGUAGUCC